This 493-nucleotide long non-coding RNA is filed under the name Homo sapiens (human). Its description in RNAcentral is "HSALNT0151932". The record is from RNAcentral. Lineage: Eukaryota; Metazoa; Chordata; Mammalia; Primates; Hominidae.
CACACACAUAUAUUUCCCCUACAAAUUCACACACCCCCCCCACACAUACACAUAUACCCACACACAAAUCCACACACACACAUACAGACACAUGCACAUACCCAUGCACUCAGCCACAUUCACAGAUACAAACAACCCCCCCACACACAUUCACACACAUACACUCACACAGUCACAUUCACACACAUGUGCUCACAGUCACUUCACACAUAUACACUCACACACAUUCAGACACAAAUACAUUCUCACACACAUACACCCACACAUCCACCCACACACUCACAUUCACACUCAUACACAUUCACACACAUACACACACACCCACACAUUUACAGUCACACAUACACUCACACACUCAGAUUCUCACACAUACACACUCACAUUCACACACAUACACCCGCACACUCACAUUCACACACACUCAUGCACAUUCAUAAACAUACACACACACCCACACAUUUACAGUCACACAUACACUCACACACUCACAUGC